GCAUAUCAAUAAGCGGAGGAAAAGAAAAUAACAAUGAUUCCUCUAGUAACUGCGAGUGAAGAGGGAAAAGCUCAAAUUUUAAAUCUGUUAGGUUUACCUUAACCGAGUUGUAAUUUGAAGAAGCGUUUUCUGCGAAUUUGGUUAGUCCAAAUCCUUUGGAAUAAGGUAUCAUGGAGGGUGAGAAUCCCGUUCGGUUAACCAAAGCGCUUUACGAUACGCUUUCAAAGAGUCAAGUUGUUCGGGAUUGCAGCUUAAAUGGGAGGUAAAUUUCUCCUAAGGCUAAAUAUUGGCGAGAGACCGAUAGCGAACAAGUACCGUGAGGGAAAGAUGAAAAGAACUUUGAAAAGAGAGUUAAACAGUACGUGAAAUUGUUGAAAGGGAAACGAUUAAAGUCAGUCGUACCUACGAGUAAUCAACCUACUCGAGUGCGAUUUUGUGGGUAUGUUAGAGCUUAAAAACCUUCAUGCUUACAAAUUGGUGCUCUUUGGGCGUACUUUCUCGUAUGGUAGGUUAACAUCAAUUUCGAUCGUUAUAAAAUGACUGGAGGAAUGUAGCUUCGAUCUCGGUUGAAGUGUUAUAGCCUUUGGUAGAUGUAAUGAUUGGGAUUGAGGAUUGCAACGGAUACCCUCUGGGCUAUUCGUCUGAUCUCUGGAAGUUACCUUGGUGUCGAAAGCGUGCUUACGAUAUUAAGGUUGACGGCCAAUAGGUUAGAACGUGAUUAAAUUCGUUAAGGAUGUUGACGUAAUGGCUUUAAACGAC
RNAcentral lists this ribosomal RNA (759 nucleotides) under uncultured Glomus. RNAcentral's name for it is "eukaryotic LSU rRNA". It matches the Rfam family "Eukaryotic large subunit ribosomal RNA", at positions 38 to 648 of the family's 3401-position model. The record is from RNAcentral. Lineage: Eukaryota; Fungi; Glomeromycota; Glomeromycetes; Glomerales; Glomeraceae.